Molecule: non-coding RNA, 91 nt
Organism: Mycena latifolia
Lineage: Eukaryota; Fungi; Basidiomycota; Agaricomycetes; Agaricales; Mycenaceae
Source: the annotation of a GenBank genome assembly
GUGGGUGUGGUGCAUGGUACACAGCUACAUUGCUUUGGGCGUUGCCAGUUGCUUUGAGCAGCAGACCCGGGUUCGACUCCCGGCGCCCGCA